This 265-nucleotide ribosomal RNA is filed under the name uncultured bacterium. Its description in RNAcentral is "partial 16S ribosomal RNA". It matches the Rfam family "Bacterial small subunit ribosomal RNA", at positions 87 to 354 of the family's 1533-position model. The record is from RNAcentral.
AUGUUUUAGUGGCGACGGGUGAGUAACGCGUGGGCAACCUGCCUUACACCGGGGGAUAACACUUAGAAAUAGGUGCUAAUACCGCAUAACAGGAGAACAUGCAUGUGUUUUCCUUGAAAACCACGGUGGUGUAAGAUGGACCCGCGUCUGAUUAGCUUGUUGGCAGGGUAACGGCCUACCAAGGCGACGAUCAGUAGCCGGCCUGAGAGGGUGGACGGCCACAUUGGGACUGAGACACGGCCCAGACUCCUACGGAAGGCAGCAG